ACGGGUCUUCGGGACUAGUGGCGGGCGGGUGAGUAACGCGUGGGAACAUACCCUUUGGUACGGAAUAGCCUCGGGAAACUGAGAGUAAUACCGUAUGUGCCCUUCGGGGGAAAGAUUUAUCGCCAAAGGAUUGGCCCGCGUUGGAUUAGGUAGUUGGUGGGGUAAUGGCCUACCAAGCCGACGAUCCAUAGCUGGUUUGAGAGGAUGAUCAGCCACACUGGGACUGAGACACGGCCCAGACUCCUACGGGAGGCAGCAGUGGGGAAUCUUAGACAAUGGGGGAAACCCUGAUCUAGCCAUGCCGCGUGAUCGAUGAAGGCCUUAGGGUUGUAAAGAUCUUUCAGAUGGGAAGAUAAUGACGGUACCAUCAGAAGAAGCCCCGGCUAACUCCGUGCCAGCAGCCGCGGUAAUACGGAGGGGGCUAGCGUUAUUCGGAAUUACUGGGCGUCAAGCGCACGUAGGCGGAUCAGAAAGUCAGAGGUGAAAUCCCAGUGCUCAACCUUGGAACUGCCUUUGAAACUCCUGGUCUUGAGGUCGAGAGAGGUGAGUGGAAUUCCGAGUGUAG
RNAcentral lists this ribosomal RNA (565 nucleotides) under uncultured bacterium. Its description in RNAcentral is "bacterial SSU rRNA". It matches the Rfam family "Bacterial small subunit ribosomal RNA", at positions 78 to 678 of the family's 1533-position model. The record is from RNAcentral.